CUCAGGGAGACUGAUUUGAGUAAUAAUAAAGCUCCAGCCUCCCACAUAGCCAGGUCUGUGUGAAUUACCCUUUCUCUACUGGAAUUCCCCUGUUUUGAUAAAUCAGCUCUGUCUAGGUAGCGGGCAAAGUGGACCCUUUGGGCAGUUACACUAUCCUUAGAGAUGGCGGCUCGAGAUGCUUCUCCAUUGGCUGGCAUCUGGUAACCUGGAUUUUGGGUAGGUACUCACAUUCUCAAAACUGAUACAAGGGGCUUACCUUGCCUAAACAACAUGGUCCUCGUGAUAGAGACACUAGACAGGGAAAUUCUGGGCAGAAAAGGGCAGGUCUCUGGCAAGGGCCCCACUCUCAAGCCUGGAACUGUGGGCCAAAAUGAGAAGAUGCAUUCCUAUUUUUAGUGAAGUAAGUGAAGUGAGUAAGUGAAGUUUGCCUCUGCCGUCACCGAAGUGGCCAACUAGCUCCAGCGCCCACACUCCAGUUCCUGUCCAUGAAGGGGACAGGGAAAAUGUUCUGCUUCACUUGCUGAAUUCCUGCUUUCCUUCCAGGAGUCUGGAAUUUUGCUGCGCGCCGGGCAGAGGGUUCCUAUGUAACUGGCUUCCAUGUGCUUGAAUGUUGCCUUUUCCAAAACCACCCAUGGCCUGCCCCACCCCAUAUCCUGUGCCAUAAAAACCCCAGGUUCCACCUGCAGAGAGUGGAGGAGAAGAGGAUAAGCAGCUGGACGUUGGAGACUACAAUUUGAUGAUGGAGAGAAGCAGCUUGACUUCAGAGGGAUUGCCUGACGGCAUUGCUUCUGAACGGAGUCUGGGGGAGGAACACCUUCCCACUCCAUCCCCUUUCCAGCUCUCCUUCCUGAGAGCCACUUUCAUCAACAAUAAAUCCUCCCCAUUCACCACCCUUCAGUUCAUUCAUGCGACCUGAUUUUUCCUGGACACUGAAUAAGAGCUUGGCUGCCACGGAUGUGAAUGCUAAAGGCUGUCACAGUGACUCUCUGGCCUUGCUGGUGGAGAGCAACCACUUCAUGUGAAAAGGCAGAGGGCCCACUGAACUGUUUAACACUUAAGCCAUCCAUGGACAGCAAGGCCAAAAGAGAGCACUGUAACACACGCCCUCCAGGGCUUCGAGGGUGGUGGGUAUCCCCCUAGAUACUGCCGCAGGCCCUGCAUGGAGUUUUGUUCCUGCUGGUGCCCAAAGGCACUCACCCCACCUCCUGCGCCCACUCACCUGCAUGCUGCCUCUCAUAAGGGGUUGAAGCAAUGGGUUUGAGUAAGUGAAGUUUGUCCCUGCUGUCACCGAAGUGACCAGCUAGCUCCAGCACCCACACUCCAGUUCCCGUCCAUGAAGGAGUCAGGAAAAAUGUCUGCUUCACUUGCUGAAUUGCUGCUUUCCUUCUAGGAGUCUGGAAUUUUGCUGCAUGCCGGGCAGAGGGGUCCUAUGUAACUGGCUUCCAAUACAAGCCCUGGGCAUUGAAUUUCCAAUGGAACUAGCGUAGAUAAUAUUUCAAGUGUGUAGUCAUGAUUUGAGGCUGGGGGAACGAAGAGUGUCUUGAGUGUCUUGUAGUCACAAUUUGAGGCUGGAGGAAUUAAAAGUGUUUACUACAAAGAGAGAAGACUCUUCAAAAUUUUAGCCUGGUUUUCUCUGGACUUCACCACAUGGGCCGUUUCCUCUUGCUGAUUUUGCUUGUAUCCAUAAUAAAUCAUAGCUGGAGGUAAAACUUAUAUGCUGAGUCCUGUGAUGCCUCCUAGAAAAUCACCAAACCUAAGAGUAGACCUCCAAUGCAAUAUCCUUAUUGCGGGAAGCCUGGGAGAUGUAGGUUAUUUGUUUGUUUUUCUAUUCCGUAUUGCAGAGUUGGGUUUAAAUAUGGAGUACUAUCAAUACAUAUAGUGAAUGUGUGGCUCACAUUGAUAUAGGUCAUAAAAUCUGAUUCCCUUUUGUUCCGGGUAUUCAUUUAGACUGCAUUUUCCAUCCUCCAAUGUAGUACGGUGGGCCUUGUGACUGGGGUCUGAUGAAUGAAGUUGGGGUGAGGAGUCAUGCCUAUUACUCCCAGGUUUGGACCAUAAUAUCCUCCCAUGUGAUCAAUCUGUGCUCCAGCUGUGCUCUUACCCAUGCACUGGCCAGAUGUGUAAGUUCUAGCUGAGGUCUGCCAGGAUACAGGAUGGUGGAGCCAUGUGAUGGAAGGAGCUUGGGCCUCUGAGUGACUAUGCAGAGCAGAGUGAUGGUUGCAUCUCCCUUUCUAACCCACAGCAAAUUAGAUGCUAUCUUAACCUUUUGGAUUAAGCCCCUGGGAUCUGAGGAUUUGUCUAUUCCUGUAUUUCACGUUUUCCUAACUAAUUCAGAAAAGUCCUGGGUAAUAGAUAGAUACUCCCUAAGUGAACAAUACAAACUCCAUUUCAUUAAAACUUCAUUCCCUGAAGAAACAGGAAAACUCCAUAAGCCUUAAAAAAACAAUUUCCAUCACUUCUAAAUUCAGUCUAUUAUACUUCAAAACAAU
Molecule: long non-coding RNA, 2486 nt
Filed under: Homo sapiens (human)
Lineage: Eukaryota; Metazoa; Chordata; Mammalia; Primates; Hominidae
Description: HSALNT0197082
Source: RNAcentral